ACUCCUACGGGAGGCAGCAGUGGGGAAUAUUGGACAAUGGGGGCAACCCUGAUCCAGCCAUGCCGCGUGAGUGAAGAAGGCCCUAGGGUCGUAAAGCUCUUUCAACUGUGAAGAUAAUGACGGUAGCAGUAGAAGAAACCCGCAGCUACCCGUGCCAGCAGCCGCGGUAAUACGGAGGGGGUUAGCGUUGUUCGGAAUUACUGGGCGUAAAGCGCACGUAGGCGGACUAUUAAGUUAGAGGUGAAA
This 246-nucleotide ribosomal RNA is filed under the name uncultured bacterium. RNAcentral describes it as "partial 16S ribosomal RNA". It matches the Rfam family "Bacterial small subunit ribosomal RNA", at positions 335 to 599 of the family's 1533-position model. The record is from RNAcentral.